This is a long non-coding RNA of Athene cunicularia (burrowing owl), 2132 nucleotides long. RefSeq lists it as uncharacterized. NCBI's taxonomy places the organism in Eukaryota, Metazoa, Chordata, Aves, Strigiformes, Strigidae. The record is from RefSeq and is a predicted model, not a curated record. The transcript has 4 exons.
UAAGUAGGUCCCUGACACUAUCACUGACAUUGCAGAAUCCUUAUCAAUUCAAUCAGUAGGAAUGCCACAAUAUGGAGGACACUUCUUCCUCUUUUUCAGUAGAAAAGAGAGCUACUGAUGGAGCUGUGGGAAAAAAUGGGCUGCAGGAUGAACACAGAAUUCUGGUCUGGAUUUUGCCUGUUGUGUGACAGCAGAGGUGGCUGAAUGCCUUCAGGGAAAGGAUCAUCAGAAGCAAGUGAAAGGAUGCACGACAAAUGAUCUGGUUAUCUACAUAGGUCAAGGCAUCACAGUUUGAACAUACCUGUACUUCAGCUGGAAGGAGAGAAUAUUCACUAGGAAAUGCAUAAUGGGCAAGUCAUUGCUGUGCAGAAUGAGUUUUCAGUGAUCCUAGAACAAGACUCCACCAUAUACUGAGGUCAUCAGAAUACAAAUCUGAAAAAAACAUCACCCAGGGACUGUCUUCUAAAAGACGUAGAAAGAACAACCACAGGAGACCUUGAAAGUGCAUCAAGGAUGAAACCAGAGUCUCCUGAGCUAUAAAGUCAGAUGACCUUCAAACUAGUUUGAAUGUAACUUCCUAGAGAAUAAAGCUAUAUUCAUGAAUAAUCUUUCUUCUGAUGGAAUCAUUAUUGAAUCUCUCAGAAAGGCGUAUAUCCUAAGAAUAGGUAAGUAAAAAAAGGAAUCUCCUACUGGAAGAAACAACUUAUCUUUAAGGGAAAAAUACUUUUGUUAAAUCUUCUGCCAAUCACUAUAUAGGGGUCAUAUAACUUACAUAGCUCAUGUACAGAACUAGAGAUAGAUGAUAGUUAAGGUCCCUUCCACUGUAAACCAUUCUGGUAUUCUAUGAAUUGUGCAUCAACCUAUCAAAAUUGUCCAUAACUGAUUGAGCCAUUGGCUGAGCCAUCUUUCAAUGGUAUAAAGAAGUUUGCAACACAGUUAGUUGCACUAGUGCCAUUUUUCAGAGUUGGGCUUGCAGAGCUGAUCGCUCCAACAUCCUGCACUGUAAUGCUACUUCAGUAAAUGUUAUUUUCAGUAGCAUCAAGAGGAACUGUGUUUUAGUAGUUGGUCUUAGUUUUUGACUUACUGCUUUUGUUACUCAACCCUGAGGACUGGCCAUUAAACAUAAAUGUUGUACAUAAAUGUUGUUUUACAGAACAAAACAGAGCAACAAUAAAAAGGAUGUUCAACAAGUAUAAAAGCAGAACCAUAUGUGGCCCUGCAAAGUUGCCUCUUCCUCAGUCACAGCACCAGAAGAGAGGGUCAUCUCCCAUCACCUGGAAAAGCAAACCAAAGACAAGAACAGAAAUACUUGAUGUCGUAAAUAGAAGAAAUAGAGAGACAACACUGAGAAGAAACACAUAGUGAGAGCACAGCUUUGAGUAUGGCUGCAGGACUUCAACCUCCAUAUUUUUCUUUGCCAUAUCCCCCUUGAGUAUGCAAGUGUUCGUUUGCAUGGGGGCAAGGAGAGAAACAUAAAAAAAUAAAAAUUCUUUCUCCAUUUUUGUGUCUGGUUGACUUGAAUUCCUCUGAAAGAUGACCCUUGAAAUUAUAUAGAAAUAGAGCAGGAAUAUGUUAAAAAUGGACUAAUUUUAAAUUUCACAACAUCUAAGUCAUAGAUGUCCCCUGUAAUGUUGAUACAUGUGAUUUAUAAAUAAAUAUAAAUAGGAGAUCCUCACAAUGAGAGAAAAUGCUUGAGGUUCCAAUGUUAGCAUUCUAAAUACCUUAAACUCACACAGUUGUGUAAGUCAUAUACACUUCUGCUUUCUGGCAACUACUGCCAAGAUACUACCAUAUUACAAACGACUAUGUAAGGGAAUUCGUUAAAGUCUGUAUGGUUACAGCUACUUCAGCUGCAUGAAAAGGUAUUUCACCUACAUUCAAAAACUAAGCAGAGGAACAGUAGUAGCAAUUUCACUGAAACUGAAGGUUUGCUUUUGAAAAAAAUACAGGCGGAAAGGGCCACAAAAUCAGAACUCAAACUAAAAUCUCAAACCCAUAAAAUCAAGCAAACAUUUUAAUACAUUUUAUGUACUGUUUUGAUAUUCACUUCGCUGUUAUUUUCUUGAGGUUUAUGAAUGCAUUCUGUGCUAGUCCCACAGACACAAGCUACCACAUAAUAGCUUGGGCUGAAA